This 407-nucleotide ribosomal RNA is filed under the name uncultured bacterium. RNAcentral describes it as "bacterial SSU rRNA". It matches the Rfam family "Bacterial small subunit ribosomal RNA", at positions 355 to 776 of the family's 1533-position model. The record is from RNAcentral.
UGGGGGAUAUUGCGCAAUGGGGGAAACCCUGACGCAGCGACGCCGCGUGAGCGAAGAAGGUCUUCGGAUCGUAAAGCUCUGUCAACGGGGACGAAGGGAAUGACGGUACCCGAGGAGGAAGCCCCGGCUAACUACGUGCCAGCAGCCGCGGUAAUACGUAGGGGGCGAGCGUUGUCCGGAAUUACUGGGCGUAAAGGGUGCGUAGGCGGUCUGUUAAGUCAGAUGUGAAACUCCAUGGCUCAACUGUGGGCUUGCAUUUGAAACUGGCAGGCUAGAGUGCAGGAGAGGGAAGUGGAAUUCCUAGUGUAGCGGUGAAAUGCGUAGAGAUUAGGAGGAACACCAGUGGCGAAGGCGGCUUCCUGGCCUGUAACUGACGCUGAGGCACGAAAGCGUGGGGAGCGAACAGG